This 253-nucleotide ribosomal RNA is filed under the name uncultured bacterium. RNAcentral describes it as "partial 16S ribosomal RNA". It matches the Rfam family "Bacterial small subunit ribosomal RNA", at positions 524 to 776 of the family's 1533-position model. The record is from RNAcentral.
UACGUAGGGGGCAAGCGUUGUCCGGAUUUAUUGGGCGUAAAGAGCGUGUAGGCGGCCAUGCAGGUCCGUUGUGAAAACUCGAGGCUCAACCUCGAGACGCCGAUGGAAACCGCAUGGCUAGAGUCCGGAAGAGGAGAGUGGAAUUCCUGGUGUAGCGGUGAAAUGCGCAGAUAUCAGGAAGAACACCGGUGGCGAAGGCGGUUCUCUGGGCCUGCACUGACGCUCAUGCACGAAAGCGUGGGGAGCAAACAGG